This 378-nucleotide long non-coding RNA is filed under the name Phoenix dactylifera (date palm). RNAcentral's name for it is "long non-coding RNA (PDAC_LNC003850)". The record is from RNAcentral. Lineage: Eukaryota; Viridiplantae; Streptophyta; Magnoliopsida; Arecales; Arecaceae.
GACAUGUAAUAAGAGUUAGGUAGUCGGUCCAAAAGUUGGAAGAAUUCAUAGCCAAGUUACGUGGGUUGGGUUUUGGAUUAAAUUAUUUGGAGGAUUUAGACUUUUUUAAAGAAUUUAUAUUGGAAAUAGCACUUGAUUAUUGAAUCAAACUGAAAACCCAACCUGAGUUUCACAUUGGGACGAGUCACUUGGCUGAGCCUAGAUCGGCAAACGUUAUUUGAUGUUAAUAUACCACUUGAUUCAACUUAGUGAUAGAGCAAGGCCAAUUUUAGAAAAGAAUAAAAAAAUAUUAAUUGAGGCAAUCCAAAGUUUUAAGUUUUGAGCGCUUAUACAACAAUUCGUUAGGAUGCGUUUGAUUGGAGUAAUCUAGUAUGGAAA